UGGACCGCUAGAGUUGCUAGUCGAGCGGAUGAGUGGAGCUUGCUCCAUGAUUCAGCGGCGGACGGGUGAGUAAUGCCUAGGAAUCUGCCUGGUAGUGGGGGACAACGUUUCAAAAGGAACGCUAAUACCGCAUACGUCCUACGGGAGAAAGUGGGGGAUCUUCGGACCUCACGCUAUCAGUUGAGCCUAGGUCGGAUUAGCUAGUUGGUGAGGUAGGGGGUGGCCAAGGCGACGAUCCGUAACUGGUCUGAGAGGAUGAUCAGUCACACUGGAACUGAGACACGGCCAGACUCCUACGGGGGGGCAGCGGUGGGGA
Molecule: ribosomal RNA, 316 nt
Filed under: uncultured Pseudomonas sp.
Lineage: Bacteria; Pseudomonadati; Pseudomonadota; Gammaproteobacteria; Pseudomonadales; Pseudomonadaceae
Description: bacterial SSU rRNA
Rfam family: Bacterial small subunit ribosomal RNA
Source: RNAcentral